GCGCGUGUAGCUCAGUUGGUUAGAGCACUUCACUGAUAAUUAAGAGGUCGGAGGUUCAAGUCCCCCCACGCGCA
This 74-nucleotide transfer RNA is filed under the name Candidatus Microgenomates bacterium. RNAcentral describes it as "tRNA-Ile". It matches the Rfam family "tRNA". Rfam says of the family: Transfer RNA (tRNA) molecules are approximately 80 nucleotides in length. Their secondary structure includes four short double-helical elements and three loops (D, anti-codon, and T loops). Lineage: Bacteria; Candidatus Microgenomatota. The record is from RNAcentral.